RNAcentral lists this long non-coding RNA (300 nucleotides) under Manihot esculenta (cassava). Its description in RNAcentral is "long non-coding RNA (MESC_LNC005861)". The record is from RNAcentral. Lineage: Eukaryota; Viridiplantae; Streptophyta; Magnoliopsida; Malpighiales; Euphorbiaceae.
GGUGAAAGGAUCGAAUCCACAGGGAAUUGAAGACUUACCUAUUUUCCUUAUCAAGACCAAUAAAAUAAACUGAAACAAAAAUAAACUGCAAAAGAAGAAAACUGAAAACGAGAUAAAACUGAAAUAAGAUAAAACUGAAACGAGAUAAAACUGAAAACGAGAUAAACUGAAACGAGAUAAAACUGAAAUGAGAUAAAACUGAAAGAGAAAUAAACGGAAAGCAAAAUAAACUAAAACGAAAUAAAACUGAAACCAACUAUACUGUAAGUAAAAUGGGGGGGUUUUGAGAUUGAUUUAAUU